UACAGAGGUCCCAAGCGUUGUUCGGAUUCACUGGGCGUAAAGGGCGCGUAGGCGGCCUAACAAGUCACUUGUGAAAUCUCCGGGCUUAACUCGGAACUGCCAAGUGAAACUGUCAGGCUAGAGUGCAGAAGGGGCAAUCGGAAUUCUUGGUGUAGCGGUGAAAUGCGUAGAUAUCAAGAGGAACACCUGAGGUGAAGACGGGUUGCUGGGCUGACACUGACGCUGAGGCGCGAAAGCCAGGGGAGCAAACGGG
This 253-nucleotide ribosomal RNA is filed under the name uncultured bacterium. Its description in RNAcentral is "partial 16S ribosomal RNA". It matches the Rfam family "Bacterial small subunit ribosomal RNA", at positions 524 to 776 of the family's 1533-position model. The record is from RNAcentral.